Long non-coding RNA from Ornithodoros turicata, 3806 nucleotides. RefSeq lists it as uncharacterized. The transcript is spliced from 3 exons. Lineage: Eukaryota; Metazoa; Arthropoda; Arachnida; Ixodida; Argasidae. The record is from RefSeq and is a predicted model, not a curated record.
UAUGAAGGUAAUGAGUCAGGAAGCAUUGUUUACGAAUGUUUGUAUUUGUGUUGUGAAAUAGAAAGUUGCGCUGUUUCGUUUGUGCUUAUGUGCAUGCGUUCGUGUAGUGCAGAUCCCCUUGUGUUUUGUGUUGACAAAAUGACAAGAUCGAUGGCAUUUUCCACUGACGUGUGAAAAGCAGCUGUUCAACGCGCUCCUUCGUCAGCUUGCUCGACAUCUCAGACUCGGCUAGCACUACUGUGCGAACAGUGAGCAGGGUGAAGAUACUGAUACAUAAUAUCAAGUUGCGAGUGCGCUCUCAAAUAUUGCAGAACAUACCCAGGACGCACAGGACAGAGUAAUUAUAGCUUUUUCGCUGCUUCUAACAGUGCGAUCAAGAAACAUAGCAUAUUCAGGUAUGACUUGCUUAGUUCUGUGUCUCAAUACUAAGGCUUACAAAUUUCCACAUUGUGUGUUCCUCAAAUGAAGCACAAAAUUUUCGGCAUCAAGGUAUUUAACAGUACUUACAAUGCCAUUAAUUUCGUUAUCUCCCAACGCUGAUGUUACCGAGGUCUGCUUCUAGGGUAAUUUCGUUUAAUAGGCAGGCUGAUUCGGGCGUAGCCUGUUCUAUUGCCUAAAGAAGUGACUAGUCUGUUCAGCUUCCCUAUACAUAUUUGUUGUCGAUAAAAGUGUGAGAUGGCUGAUGGGUUUCUUCACUUUCACCGUAGAAUUUUCUGGUGAAGAACCAAAGCUUUUAACAUUUGAGGAUACCAGAAAGAAGUUCAUUUCUCCGGGCAGCAGCGACUGGUGCGAAAAAAAUUGCUCUUCGAGGUCCCAUAUUUACGUGAAAAGAUGAGUGACGUGGCCUGCUAAUCAGUUUCACCUGAGAAACUGAGAAUUUUACGAGCGCUCAUGAAGGACAAAGUAGCAACCUCCUCCAGCUCACAGUGAGGCAAGGGGACGAUGAAGUUCUGCGACCUGUUAUGCUGUGAUUAAGUAUUAAAAUAUGUGUUUGCAUAUUCUGUAUAUCUGACUUGUCACCUGUGUUUCUGAAGCCAAGUCACGUUUUUAAUUAUAGGCACUGUAAUGCCAAACCGGCUGCUCAAGGACGUGACCCGCAGUAAAGGAGAGCAGCACAUAAAGUCCUGGCUGAGGCACGCCAAAGAACCUCAUGACAGGACGUCGACAAAAGAUAAGGGCUCGGAGUACUACACAGAACAGCAGCGACAGCUGGGCCAAUCCGUGCGAAACUCUUCAGGCCUAGCUUUGAGCCUAGAUUUCACGAGAGAAAAAAAUGUGCAUUCUCUGAGAGUGUGGUAGAUACACAUUUCUUUCCUCUGUAUAUUUGGCUCCAGACUGAGGGCUAUGCAGGUGUUGCCUUCAAAAUGAAAAGUGUUAUGCCAUUGUCAUCUCCAUGCAAUACACAUCGACAAUAUUAAUGGGUUUUCGUUAAUGUAUAAUGUUGGACAAAAAAAAUUCAGCUCAUGAAACAGAAGGUGGGAUUAUCUUAAAGUUUAUUCUGUGUAGAGAGCUCGGGAGCAGACCAUAAUUGUGACAAAUAGUUAAUAACUUUUUGGUGAGGAUAAUAAACUUGAUUGUGAAUAAUAAUAAUACGUAAAGACAACUCGAAUAUUGUUCGAGUUGUCUGCGUGUUCAUGUGUAUUGGAAGGUGACGACAAUAGAGCUAGAUAUAACUUUGCAACGUAGAAGGCCGCACAUAUAGGGUGUUUCACCUCUCGUGAUAAAUUCUAACCGUAGACGUACACGCCGUAUAGGAUUGUGGGAUUUUUGGCAAUUACCCUCUGGCAACUUUUGCAGACACUUUGGCUUUGCUGACGGCUUUCGACAAUUUUUAAUUGACGGAAAUUUAUGUUUUCAAUCAAAUUAAGAAAAUUGCCAAGCACACCCCUAUUUUUUAACAGAAAUAUGAAGUGGCCUUCGGAUGACCGCAGACCCAACAAAACCUAUGCGCAGUAUUAACAGAAACGGUCGAAAAAAGUAAAAGUGAUGCUUUAGUCCUGCCGACUUGAUUGUUGCAAAAAGCCAGCAGAUUAGUUGCAGGGAAGAAGUAUCCGCGCCUCUUGCUUUACCUUUCUUUUCCCUGGUUUGACCUUGAUGCACAAAGAAACGAAAAAAAAUCAAGGUGGGAACACUUCUUCCUCUUCCCGCACAUUUUGCGCACGGUUUUUGCAACAAUAAAGCAGGUGGGGCUAUAGCAGCACUUUUGCUAAGACUUUUCAACUAUUUCAGUCACUAUACUGUGCAUAGUUUUCGUUACGUCUGCGGUUAUUCGUAGGAUCGCUUGGCAAUUCUCAAAGUUUUUCAUUGAAAAGAUCCCUGAAUUAAAAAUUGUCCAAAGCUUUCCAGAAUGGCAGCAAAAGAUUCCAGAAGGUAAUUGCAGAAAGUGCCACAAUCCUCCUGCAGGUACGUUGCCAAUAGAAUCGUUAAUCACUUUAGGUGAAGCGCCCUCUAUGUAUACGUUCAUAAAAAAAGCAAAAAAGAAACACCAGGAAUUUUCCUUGCAUAUGUGACCCUUCGGAGACUGCACUUGUUUCAAGCAAACUCCAAAGAGGCCAAAUUACACCUCUGCUUAUUUUCCGCAACCUGAUUACUAGACAUGAUGGUGCGUUUAUUUCAUUCAUGAGCAUGUUGUGUCAUCCGGAACUGCUCAGAAUGUUUGAAAUUCCAUGCUAUAUUUUACAGCUGCUAUUGCAGCUCUUGUAGUGUUAUCUUGAACGCCCAAACUGGGCUCCUUACAUUUCAUCUUGGCCGAGGCCAACUGUAGACUACAGAAGAAUGAAGUGUGAAGUGCCCUAUAGAUGACGUUAUUCAUUUUAUUCAUCUAUGUAUUUUGUAAAGACUGCACUUGGCUCGCAUUGUCAUAUCGGACUCCUGAUACAUGUUUCUUGUUCGGGUUGUUUGUUACGCGACCACGCUGUCCAGAAGGGAGUAAAUAAGGUUCUCUUUGAAGUGAUUGGUAUUUUUGUGCAUAUUAUUGUAGCCAAAUAAUGUUCAUCGGCUCAGUUAAAGACUCAAAUAUCUGUAUCAGGAAUUGUGAAAAAUGGUUUUGCUCAAAUGACAAAGGUGGAAGGCACUUUUGAAGGCUCGUAGUACAACUUACCUCGACUGAAAUGACGAAUUUCUACAUGAAUCUGAUGUGUAUUGCACGGAAGUGGCUUUGUGGUGUUUGCUCAUUUUUGCUAGGAGGUGCUUCGAACCAAUUAUGUGAUGACGGCGUUUGCUAGGUGCUACAGCGCAUUAAUGCGAUGACAUUAUUUACUCAUUUAUGCUGAAUGGUGCUUCAGCCCAUUGAUGUAGUGACGUUAAAUAACAGCACCAAUGUGAUGAUCCUUUAGUUCCAUAUGUCAUGUGUACAUUUACAGAGCCUUUUCUAGAUAGAGGGAUGCCAUUUUCGGUCCAAAUAAGCAUAUCGACUAUUUGUUUAGCGUUAUGAAUAUUUCUAACUGCUGGCGCAAGAAUCGUUCGGCUUUUCCCUGCAUACAAGGCAAAGUGUGGUCUGACCCUGUGAGCCAUCCAGCCACCAUUAAUUCCGAAGCACCCCUUGUGGGCUUAAUGACUGAGAACACAGUUUCUGCUCGUCACUGCUAUAUGCAGACUACAAAUUGAUUUCACCUCUCAGCAGCUUCAGAUGUAGGUGUGAUGCAGAGCUUUUCUAGAGCUUUUAUGCGUUCAUGCAUUGAGCACUUAUCUGCUUUGUUAUCAUCCAAGUCAAAUGUCAUUUUCUUUUUAUGCAUAUUGUGUAGUAUUUAACAUUGUGUAGCUAUACAUCACUUGAAGUUCCUUGAAAUAAAGAAGCCAUGAAAGCU